Molecule: ribosomal RNA, 417 nt
Filed under: uncultured soil bacterium
Lineage: Bacteria
Description: bacterial SSU rRNA
Rfam family: Bacterial small subunit ribosomal RNA
Source: RNAcentral
AGGACGAACGCUGGCGGCGUGCUUAACACAUGCAAGUCGAGCGGUAAGGCCUCUUCGGGGGUACACGAGCGGCGAACGGGUGAGUAACACGUGAGCAAUCUGCCCUUCACUUCGGGAUAAGCCUCGGAAACGGGGUCUAAUACCGGAUAUGACCGUGCCAUGCAUGUGGUGUGGUGGAAAGUUCUGGCGGUGGAGGAUGAGCUCGCGGCCUAUCAGCUUGUUGGUGGGGUAAUGGCCUACCAAGGCUUCGACGGGUAGUCGGCCUGAGAGGGUCGACCGGCCACGCUGGACUGAGACACGGCCCAGACUCCUAGGGAGCAGCAGUGGGGAAUAUUGGACAAGUAGGGCGAAAGGCCUGACUCCGAGCAACGCCGCGUGAGGAUGGACGGCCGUUCGGGUUCGUUAAAACCUCGUUUC